RNAcentral lists this ribosomal RNA (509 nucleotides) under uncultured bacterium. RNAcentral's name for it is "bacterial SSU rRNA". It matches the Rfam family "Bacterial small subunit ribosomal RNA", at positions 30 to 528 of the family's 1533-position model. The record is from RNAcentral.
AUUGAACGCUGGCGGCAUGCUUUACACAUGCAAGUCGAACGGUAGAGGGGGCAACCCCUUGAGAGUGGCGAACGGGUGAGUAAUGCAUCGGAACGUACCGUGUAAUGGGGGAUAACGUAGCGAAAGUUACGCUAAUACCGCAUACGCCCUGAGGGGGAAAGCGGGGGACCCUAAAUAGAGCGCACUGGGGAGUGCGUUGUAUUUAGGGCCUCGCGCAAUAGGAGCGGCCGAUGUCGGAUUAGCUAGUUGGUGAGGUAAAGGCUUACCAAGGCUACGAUCUGUAACCGGUCUUAGAGGACGGUCGGUCACACUGACACUGAAUAACGGGUCAGACUCCUACGGGAGGCAGCAGUCGGGAAUUUUGGGCAAUGGGCGAAAGCCUGACCCAGCAACGCCGCGUGAAGGAUGAAGUAUUUCGGUAUGUAAACUUCGAAAGAAUAGGAAGAAUAAAUGACGGUACUAUUUAUAAGGUCCGGCUAACUACGUGCCAGCAGCCGCGGUAAGUGCGA